RNAcentral lists this ribosomal RNA (498 nucleotides) under uncultured bacterium. RNAcentral's name for it is "bacterial SSU rRNA". It matches the Rfam family "Bacterial small subunit ribosomal RNA", at positions 29 to 518 of the family's 1533-position model. The record is from RNAcentral.
AUGAACGCUGGCGGCGUGCUAACACAUGCGAGUCGAACGAAGCAGCUUCUGCUGCAAGAAAGCUGACUUAGUGGCGGACGGGUGAGUAACGCGUGGGUAACCUGCCUCAUACAGGGGGAUAACAGUUGGAAACGACUGCUAAGACCGCAUAACCCGCUAGUGUCGCAUGACACGGACGGAAAAAUAUUUAAUUUUAACGAGUUAAAAUUUGGUAUGAGAUGGGCCCGCGUCUGAUUAGCUAGUUCGGUAAGGUAACGGCUUACCAAGGCGACGAUCAGUAGCCGACUUGAGAGAGUGAUCGGCCACAUUGGGACUGAGACACGGCCCAAACUCCUACGGGAGGCAGCAGUGGGGAAUAUUGGACAAUGGGGGGAAACCCUGAUCCAGCGAACCGCCGCGUGAGUGAAGAAGUAUUUCGGUAUGUAAAGCUCUAUCAGCAGGGAAGAUAAUGACAGUACCUGACUAAGAAGCCCCGGCUAACUACGUGCCAGCCGCAGC